Molecule: ribosomal RNA, 445 nt
Filed under: uncultured bacterium
Lineage: Bacteria
Description: bacterial SSU rRNA
Rfam family: Bacterial small subunit ribosomal RNA
Source: RNAcentral
AUUGAACGCUGGCGGCAUGCCUUACACAUGCAAGUCGAACGGCAGCGCGUCCUGGAUGGCGGCGAGUGGCGAACGGGUGGAGUAAAGACAUCGGAACGUGCCCGGUAGUGCGGGAUAGCUCGGCGAAAGCCGGAUUAAUACCGCAUGAGAUCUGCGGAUGAAAGCAGGGGACCCGAAAGGGCCUUGCGCUACUGGAGCGGCCGAUGUCAGAUUAGGUAGUUGGUGAGGUAAAGGCUCACCAAGCCUGCGAUCUGUAGCUGGUCUGAGAGGAUGAUCAGCCACGUCGGGACUGAGACACGGCCCGAACUCCUACGGGAGGCAGCAGUGGGGAAUUUUGGACAAUGGGCGCAAGCCUGAUCCAGCCAUGCCGCGUGCAGGAUGAAGGCCUUGGUUGUAAACUGCUUUUGUACGGAACGAAAAGGCUCUUUCUAAUAAAGGGAGUUGA